RNAcentral lists this ribosomal RNA (508 nucleotides) under uncultured bacterium. RNAcentral describes it as "partial 16S ribosomal RNA". It matches the Rfam family "Bacterial small subunit ribosomal RNA", at positions 28 to 507 of the family's 1533-position model. The record is from RNAcentral.
GACGAACGCUGGCGGCGUGCCUAAUACAUGCAAGUCGAACGCUUCUUUCCUCCCGAGUGCUUGCACUCAAUUGGAAAGAGGAGUGGCGGACGGGUGAGUAACACGUGGGUAACCUACCCAUCAGAGGGGGAUAACACUUGGAAACAGGUGCUAAUACCGCAUAACAGUUUAUGCCGCAUGGCAUAAGAGUGAAAGGCGCUUUCGGGUGUCGCUGAUGGAUGGACCCGCGGUGCAUUAGCUAGUUGGUGAGGUAACGGCUCACCAAGGCCACGAUGCAUAGCCGACCUGAGAGGGUGAUCGGCCACACUGGGAGUGAGACACGGCCCAGACUCCUACGGGAGGCAGCAGUAGGGAAUCUUCGGCAAUGGACGAAAGUCUGACCGAGCAACGCCGCGUGAGUGAAGAAGGUUUUCGGAUCGUAAAACUCUGUUGUUAGAGAAGAACAAGGACGUUAGUAACUGAGCGUCCCCUGACGGUAUCUAACCAGAAAGCCACGGCUAACUACGUG